RNAcentral lists this ribosomal RNA (1370 nucleotides) under uncultured bacterium. Its description in RNAcentral is "bacterial SSU rRNA". It matches the Rfam family "Bacterial small subunit ribosomal RNA", at positions 28 to 1381 of the family's 1533-position model. The record is from RNAcentral.
GAUGAACGCUGGCGGCGUGCCUAAUACAUGCAAGUCGAGCGAACGGACGAGAAGCUUGCUUCUCUGAUGUUAGCGGCGGACGGGUGAGUAACACGUGGAUAACCUACCUAUAAGACUGGGAUAACUUCGGGAAACCGGAGCUAAUACCGGAUAAUAUUUUGAACCGCAUGGUUCAAAAGUGAAAGACGGUCUUGCUGUCACUUAUAGAUGGAUCCGCGCUGCAUUAGCUAGUUGGUAAGGUAACGGCUUACCAAGGCAACGAUGCAUAGCCGACCUGAGAGGGUGAUCGGCCACACUGGAACUGAGACACGGUCCAGACUCCUACGGGAGGCAGCAGUAGGGAAUCUUCCGCAAUGGGCGAAAGCCUGACGGAGCAACGCCGCGUGAGUGAUGAAGGUCUUCGGAUCGUAAAACUCUGUUAUUAGGGAAGAACAUAUGUGUAAGUAACUGUGCACAUCUUGACGGUACCUAAUCAGAAAGCCACGGCUAACUACGUGCCAGCAGCCGCGGUAAUACGUAGGUGGCAAGCGUUAUCCGGAAUUUAUGGGCGUAAAGCGCGCGUAGCGGUUUUUUAGUCUGAUGUGAAAGCCCACGGCUCAACCGUGGAGGGUCAUUGGAAACUGGAAAACUUGAGUGCAGAAGAGGAAAGUGGAAUUCCAUGUGUAGCGGUGAAAUGCGCAGAGAUAUGGAGGAACACCAGUGGCGAAGGCGACUUUCUGGUCUGUAACUGACGCUGAUGUGCGAAAGCGUGGGGAUCAAACAGGAUUAGAUACCCUGGUAGUCCACGCCGUAAACGAUGAGUGCUAAGUGUUAGGGGGUUUCCGCCCCUUAGUGCUGCAGCUAACGCAUUAAGCACUCCGCCUGGGGAGUACGACCGCAAGGUUGAAACUCAAAGGAAUUGACGGGGACCCGCACAAGCGGUGGAGCAUGUGGUUUAAUUCGAAGCAACGCGAAGAACCUUACCAAAUCUUGACAUCCUUUGACAACUCUAGAGAUAGAGCUUUCCCCUUCGGGGGACAAAGUGACAGGUGGUGCAUGGUUGUCGUCAGCUCGUGUCGUGAGAUGUUGGGUUAAGUCCCGCAACGAGCGCAACCCUUAAGCUUAGUUGCCAUCAUUAAGUUGGGCACUCUAAGUUGACUGCCGGUGACAAACCGGAGGAAGGUGGGGAUGACGUCAAAUCAUCAUGCCCCUUAUGAUUUGGGCUACACACGUGCUACAAUGGGCAAUACAAAGGGCAGCGAAACCGUGAGGUCAAGCAAAUCCCAUAAAGUUGUUCUCAGUUCGGAUUGUAGUCUGCAACUCGACUACAUGAAGCUGGAAUCGCUAGUAAUCGUAGAUCAGCAUGCUACGGUGAAUACGUUCCCGGGUCU